UGCAUUGCAUUUAGCUGCCAGACAAGGGCACGUGGAAAUUGUGAAGGCUUUGCUUGACAGAGACCCACAAUUGGCCAGGAGGACGGAUAAGAAAGGACAAACUGCAUUGCAUAUGGCUGUAAAGGGAAUCAGCUGUGAGGUGGUGAUAUUGCUUCUCGAGGCUGAUGCUGCUAUAGUUAUGCUUCCGGACAAGUUUGGCAACACAGCAUUACACAUAGCAACCCGGAAAAAGCGUGCUGAGAUAGUCAGAGAGUUGCUACGCCUGCCUGAUAGUAAUGUUAAUGCACUGAACAGAGAUCACAAAACAGCUCUUGACAUAGCUGAAGAUCUUCCCCUCUCUGAAGAAUCCUCCGAAAUAAAGGAAUGUUUAUACAAAUAUGGAGCUGUUAGAGCUAAUGAAUUGAACCAACCAAGGGAUGAGUUGAGG
This 427-nucleotide unclassified non-coding RNA is filed under the name Hevea brasiliensis (rubber tree). Lineage: Eukaryota; Viridiplantae; Streptophyta; Magnoliopsida; Malpighiales; Euphorbiaceae. The record is from RNAcentral.